UUACAACGAGGACUGUGAUAGGAC
RNAcentral lists this non-coding RNA (24 nucleotides) under Arabidopsis thaliana (thale cress). Lineage: Eukaryota; Viridiplantae; Streptophyta; Magnoliopsida; Brassicales; Brassicaceae. The record is from RNAcentral.